Long non-coding RNA from Lepisosteus oculatus (spotted gar), 279 nucleotides. RefSeq lists it as uncharacterized. The record is from RefSeq and is a predicted model, not a curated record. NCBI's taxonomy places the organism in Eukaryota, Metazoa, Chordata, Actinopteri, Semionotiformes, Lepisosteidae.
UGACAUGAACAUUUAUAGGGGCACAUUGCUAGACUGUGGAAAGCCCAAGCUGAAAUCUUGUACCUGCUAAAUGUCUGUAACGGAGUUAAGCAACUAGACACUAUAUUUUCUUCUCAAGGCCAAAGAUGACAACUAAAGACACUGAACAUGACUGGGUCAACAUCACGUGUGAAAUGGAGCGUCAGGGAUUGAUUCCCUAUCAUUGUUAUUCAAAGGAAAAAGUGAGACUGUUCGGAACAUAAAAUUGGGAAGUUGUUAAGUAUUGUAUUCACUGAAAAA